RNAcentral lists this ribosomal RNA (471 nucleotides) under uncultured organism. Its description in RNAcentral is "partial 16S ribosomal RNA". It matches the Rfam family "Bacterial small subunit ribosomal RNA", at positions 334 to 797 of the family's 1533-position model. The record is from RNAcentral.
CACUCCUACGGGAGGCAGCAGUGGGGAAUUUUGGACAAUGGGCGAAAGCCUGAUCCAGCAAUGCCGCGUGAGUGAAGAAGGCCUUCGGGUUGUAAAGCUCUUUGUCAGGGAAGAAACGGUGAAAGCUAAUAUCUUUUGCUAAUGACGGUACCUGAAGAAUAAGCACCGGCUAACUACGUGCCAGCAGCCGCGGUAAUACGUAGGGUGCAAGCGUUAAUCGGAAUUACUGGGCGUAAAGCGUGCGCAGGCGGUUUUGUAAGUCUGAUGUGAAAUCCCCGGGCUCAACCUGGGAAUUGCAUUGGAGACUGCAAGGCUAGAAUCUGGCAGAGGGGGGUAGAAUUCCACGUGUAGCAGUGAAAUGCGUAGAUAUGUGGAGGAACACCGAUGGCGAAGGCAGCCCCCUGGGUCAAGAUUGACGCUCAUGCACGAAAGCGUGGGGAGCAAACAGGAUUAGAUACCCCGGUAGUCCCA